This 254-nucleotide ribosomal RNA is filed under the name uncultured bacterium. RNAcentral describes it as "partial 16S ribosomal RNA". It matches the Rfam family "Bacterial small subunit ribosomal RNA", at positions 524 to 777 of the family's 1533-position model. The record is from RNAcentral.
UACGUAGGGUGCAAGCGUUAAUCGGAAUUACUGGGCGUAAAGCGCGCGUAGGCGGACCUGUAAGUCGGGGGUGAAAGCCUGUGGCUCAACCACAGAAUUGCCUUCGAUACUGCAUGGCUUGAGACCGGAAGAGGUUAGUGGAACUGCGAGUGUAGAGGUGAAAUUCGUAGAUAUUCGCAAGAACACCAGUGGCGAAGGCGGCUGACUGGUCCGGAUCUGACGCUGAGGCGCGAAAGCGUGGGGAGCAAACAGGG